RNAcentral lists this long non-coding RNA (914 nucleotides) under Salmo salar (Atlantic salmon). Its description in RNAcentral is "lncRNA (ENSSSAG00000115925.1)". The record is from RNAcentral. Lineage: Eukaryota; Metazoa; Chordata; Actinopteri; Salmoniformes; Salmonidae.
GUAGAGGUGGACAGUGUUGGAUGAUAUGAUGGUCAAGGCUACAGAUGAGUAAUAUAAUGGUCCUGCUACAUGUCACCGGCUGGCUCAUAGCCUGUGGCAAAAAUGAGGGGACAUCAACAACAGGAGGAACCGCCCCUGCACUGCAGAGGAGGAGCCGUGACAUACACGACAGCCAGUGAGCGUUGAGGGAAUGCUUCCUUUGAAAUCAAUGAAAGUUGCUAUACUGCUCGCGUUGUGUCGUGUCCAAAGCAGCAUCCAAGCUCAAGAAUCGCCGAGGUUCAAUUCUCGAUGUGAAUGGAAAAAAUGAGAUGUGUAGCAGGUAGAACAUCACAUUGAUGGUGACUUGUGGUGUAGCUGAAAUGUUAGGUAAAGCAUCUGUCCAACUUCGCAUGCGCACACACACACACACACACACAAUGCUAGGCGAUGUUUCAUUGUGUUUAAAUCCCCCUCCUUAACCACCAUUCAACAAGUGUGUCAGACUCAUAUUAGCCUCCAUUAUCCCUACUUUAAUUCAAGGCCUAAAUACAGGUGUUAUAUUAGCCUUCAUUAUCCCUACUUUAAUUCAAGGCCUAAAUACAGGUGUUCCAACUCAUCUGAAAGCCCUCUAAAUCACCUGUCAAGUCAGGCAUUCAACAGGCACCUUAUUAGAUCGAGAGCACGUUGAACACUUCUCUUUUAUCUCUGGAGUCCAGGGUUUGUUAUUGUUCUGACUCGUGUGUGUGUGUGAGCAGCCAGUUAAGGUGGGAUGGGGGUGAGGGGGUUCCUCCAAAGGUUUAGAUUACUUUCUGCAGGAAGGGAGACAGGGGGCGUACAUACAUUUUCUCUUAGCUCACCUCCUCCCUGAACUAGACCUUGAUUUUAUUCAAAAUGGCAGCCAAAAGAAUAGAGAAUGUGUAAGCGCUAAGCAAGGG